This 154-nucleotide ribosomal RNA is filed under the name uncultured fungus. Its description in RNAcentral is "partial 5.8S ribosomal RNA". It matches the Rfam family "5.8S ribosomal RNA". From Rfam's summary of the family: 5.8S ribosomal RNA (5.8S rRNA) is a component of the large subunit of the eukaryotic ribosome. It is transcribed by RNA polymerase I as part of the 45S precursor that also contains 18S and 28S rRNA. Lineage: Eukaryota; Fungi. The record is from RNAcentral.
AACUUUUAACAACGGAUCUCUUGGCUCUCGCAUCGAUGAAGAACGCAGCGAAAUGCGAUAAGUAAUGUGAAUUGCAGAAUUCAGUGAAUCAUCGAAUCUUUGGACGCACCUUGCGCUCCUUGGUAUUCCGAGGAGCAUGCCUGUUUGAGUGUCA